This 660-nucleotide ribosomal RNA is filed under the name uncultured fungus. RNAcentral's name for it is "eukaryotic LSU rRNA". It matches the Rfam family "Eukaryotic large subunit ribosomal RNA", at positions 24 to 664 of the family's 3401-position model. The record is from RNAcentral. Lineage: Eukaryota; Fungi.
CCCGCUGAACUUAAGCAUAUCAAUAAGCGGAGGAAAAGAAACUAACAAGGAUUCCCCUAGUAACUGCGAGUGAAGCGGGAAAAGCUCAAAUUUAAAAUCUGGCGGUCCUUGUGGCCGUCCGAGUUGUAAUCUAGAGAAGUGUUAUCCGCGCUGGACCGUGUACAAGUCUCCUGGAAUGGAGCGUCACAGAGGGUGAGAAUCCCGUCUUUGACACGGACUGCCAGGGCUUUGUGAUGCGCUCUCAAAGAGUCGAGUUGUUUGGGAAUGCAGCUCAAAAUGGGUGGUAAAUUCCAUCUAAAGCUAAAUAUUGGCGAGAGACCGAUAGCGAACAAGUACCGUGAGGGAAAGAUGAAAAGAACUUUGGAAAGAGAGUUAAACAGUACGUGAAAUUGCUGAAAGGGAAACGCUUGAAGUCAGUCGCGUUGGCCGGGGAUCAACCUUGCUUUUGCUGGGCGUACUUUCCGGUCGACGGGUCAGCAUCAAUUUUGACCGUUGGAUAAAGUCUAGGGGAAUGUAGCAUCUUCGGAUGUGUUAUAGCCCUUGGUCACAUACGACGAUUGGGAUUGAGGAACUCAGCACGCCGCAAGGCCGGGUACUUGUACCACGUUCGUGCUUAGGAUGCUGGCAUAAUGGCUUUAAUCGACCCGUCUUGAAACACGG